UGGGGAAUUUUGGACAAUGGGCGAAAGCCUGAUCCAGCAAUGCCGCGUGUGUGAAGAAGGCCUUCGGGUUGUAAAGCACUUUUGUCCGGAAAGAAAUCCUUGGCUCUAAUACAGUCGGGGGAUGACGGUACCGGAAGAAUAAGCACCGGCUAACUACGUGCCAGCAGCCGCGGUAAUACGUAGGGUGCAAGCGUUAAUCGGAAUUACUGGGCGUAAAGCGUGCGCAGGCGGUUUGCUAAGACCGAUGUGAAAUCCCCGGGCUCAACCUGGGAACUGCAUUGGUGACUGGCAGGCUAGAGUAUGGCAGAGGGGGGUAGAAUUCCACGUGUAGCAGUGAAAUGCGUAGAGAUGUGGAGGAAUACCGAUGGCGAAGGCAGCCCCCUGGGCCAAUACUGACGCUCAUGCACGAAAGCGUGGGGAGCAAAACAGGAUUAGAUACCCUGGUAGUCCACGCCCUAAACGAUGUCAACUAGUUGUUGGGGAUUCAUUUCCUUAGUAACGUAGCUAACGCGUGAAGUUGACCGCCUGGGGGAGUACGGUCGCAAGAUUAAAACUUAAAUGAAUUGACGGGGUCAUAGCUGUUUCCU
Molecule: ribosomal RNA, 587 nt
Filed under: uncultured bacterium
Lineage: Bacteria
Description: partial 16S ribosomal RNA
Rfam family: Bacterial small subunit ribosomal RNA
Source: RNAcentral